RNAcentral lists this ribosomal RNA (474 nucleotides) under uncultured organism. RNAcentral's name for it is "partial 16S ribosomal RNA". It matches the Rfam family "Bacterial small subunit ribosomal RNA", at positions 334 to 799 of the family's 1533-position model. The record is from RNAcentral.
CACUCCUGCGGGAGGCAGCAGUGGGGAAUAUUGCACAAUGGGCGCAAGCCUGAUGCAGCCAUGCCGCGUGUAUGAAGAAGGCCUUCGGGUUGUAAAGUACUUUCAGCGGGGAGGAAGGCGAUAAGGUUAAUAACCUUGUCGAUUGACGUUACCCGCAGAAGAAGCACCGGCUAACUCCGUGCCAGCAGCCGCGGUAAUACGGAGGGUGCAAGCGUUAAUCGGAAUUACUGGGCGUAAAGCGCACGCAGGCGGUCUGUCAAGUCGGAUGUGAAAUCCCCAGGCUCAACCUGGGAACUGCAUUCGAAACUGGCAGGCUAGAGUCUUGUAGAGGGGGGUAGAAUUCCAGGUGUAGCGGUGAAAUGCGUAGAGAUCUGGAGGAAUACCGGUGGCGAAGGCGGCCCCCUGGACAAAGACUGACGCUCAGGUGCGAAAGCGUGGGGAGCAAACAGGAUUAGAAACCCUAGUAGUCCCAUG